Molecule: ribosomal RNA, 253 nt
Filed under: uncultured bacterium
Lineage: Bacteria
Description: partial 16S ribosomal RNA
Rfam family: Bacterial small subunit ribosomal RNA
Source: RNAcentral
UACGUAGGUGGCAAGCGUUGUCCGGAUUUACUGGGCGUAAAGGAUGCGUAGGCGGACAUUUAAGUCAGAUGUGAAAUACCCGAGCUUAACUUGGGUGCUGCAUUUGAAACUGGGUGUCUAGAGUGCAGGAGAGGUAAGUGGAAUUCCUAGUGUAGCGGUGAAAUGCGUAGAGAUUAGGAAGAACACCAGCGGCGAAGGCGACUUACUGGACUGUAACUGACGCUGAGGCAUGAAAGCGUGGGGAGCAAACAGG